Molecule: ribosomal RNA, 863 nt
Filed under: uncultured bacterium
Lineage: Bacteria
Description: bacterial SSU rRNA
Rfam family: Bacterial small subunit ribosomal RNA
Source: RNAcentral
GAUCCGAGCGUUAUCCGGAUUUAUUGGGUUUAAAGGGAGCGUAGAUGGAUGUUUAAGUCAGUUGUGAAAGUUUGCGGCUCAACCGUAAAAUUGCAGUUGAUACUGGAUAUCUUGAGUGCAGUUGAGGCAGGCGGAAUUCGUGGUGUAGCGGUGAAAUGCUUAGAUAUCACGAAGAACUCCGAUUGCGAAGGCAGCUCACUGGAGCGCAACUGACGCUGAAGCUCGAAAGUGCGGGUAUCGAACAGGAUUAGAUACCCUGGUAGUCCGCACGGUAAACGAUGGAUGCCCGCUGUUGGUCUGAACAGGUCAGCGGCCAAGCGAAAGCAUUAAGCAUCCCACCUGGGGAGUACGCCGGCAACGGUGAAACUCAAAGGAAUUGACGGGGGCCCGCACAAGCGGAGGAACAUGUGGUUUAAUUCGAUGAUACGCGAGGAACCUUACCCGGGCUUGAAUUGCAGAGGAAGGAUUUGGAGACAAUGACGCCCUUCGGGGCCUCUGUGAAGGUGCUGCAUGGUUGUCGUCAGCUCGUGCCGUGAGGUGUCGGCUUAAGUGCCAUAACGAGCGCAACCCUUGUUGUCAGUUACUAACAGGAUUUGCUGAGGACUCUGACAAGACUGCCAUCGUAAGAUGUGAGGAAGGUGGGGAUGACGUCAAAUCAGCACGGCCCUUACGUCCGGGGCUACACACGUGUUACAAUGGCAGGUACAGAGAGACGGUCCCUUGCAAAAUGGAUCAAAUCCUUAAAGCCUGUCUCAGUUCGGACUGGGGUCUGCAACCCGACCCCACGAAGCUGGAUUCGCUAGUAAUCGCGCAUCAGCCAUGGCGCGGUGAAUACGUUCCCGGGCCUUGUACACACCGCCCGU